Molecule: ribosomal RNA, 431 nt
Filed under: uncultured bacterium
Lineage: Bacteria
Description: partial 16S ribosomal RNA
Rfam family: Bacterial small subunit ribosomal RNA
Source: RNAcentral
AGCGAACGCUGGCGGCAGGCUUAACACAUGCAAGUCGAGCGCACCGCCAGGGGAGCGGCAGACGGGAGCGGAAAGCGGGGGGACAAACCGGUGGGUACGGCACAACUGAGGGAAACCUAAGCUAAUAACGGACAAGGCCUUACGGGGAAAGAUUUAUCGCCGAAAGGAUGGCGCGCGUGGGGGUGGCAAGUUGGUGAGGUAACGGCGCACCAGGGCGACGAGCAGUAGCGGGUCUGGGAGGAUGAUCAGCCUCCCUGGGUCUGAGGCCCGGCCCAGACUCCGACGGUAGGCCGCAGUGGGGAAUCUUGAACAAUGGGCGCAACCCUGAUCCAGCCAUGCCGCGUGAGUGAUGCAGCCCUUAGGGUUGUAAAGCUCUUUUGCCCGGGAAGAUAAUGACGGUACCGGGAGAAUAAGCCCCGGCUAACUUCGUG